Molecule: long non-coding RNA, 5041 nt
Organism: Strigops habroptila (Kakapo)
Lineage: Eukaryota; Metazoa; Chordata; Aves; Psittaciformes; Psittacidae
Exons: 2
Source: RefSeq, a predicted model, not a curated record
UGUCAAAGGUGCGAUACCUCUUUUUAAAGAAGCAUAUUUUAUUUGUAUAUUAAACUAGGAAGAAUACUUAUUGUCAUAAACCUCAUACAACCACAGGGGACAGGUAUUCAGCCUCAUAUAUUCAAAAACAUGUACUGUGUUGUUAGAUUAGGUUUAGGCAUUUGUUUUGAAUACAGUGAAAAGUUGAGAUGUAACUAGAUCCAUUCUGUAAACCAAGAGCUGCAACAGGUGCAUGGGUGACCAUGGUUUAUAGUUGAUAGGUGAUCUGGAAGAUAGCCACUUGGUGAAAUACCCAGUAACAUUGACCAAAACCAUAAUACCAUUUUGAACAAUGUGGAAGAUGUUCUAAAUUGCUUAAAUGUACCAGAAAAUUGAAGAGAACUAGAUGGUGAGACUUAAUUGUUUAUUUGUCAGUUUACAGGCUCUUUUUAUGAACUAACUUGUAAUCCUUGUCUCUUCCUCCCCUUGACAAAUUUCUGGUGGAAAACUUAAAAGGAAAUGUGAUUUCAACUUGAAUUCUUGCCUCCAUUCUUGAACAGUGCAUAGCGUACCUUCACUAAUCAAAUAAGAUUGUUCAUUAUAAUAUCCCAUCUGAACAUGCCCUUUGCUGAACAGACAUUGUUUGGGGGGGGGAGGACAACUCUAAAUACCUUCUACAGCUAUCUGCUUUUCCUUCUUCAUUUGGGAGUGACCUCACCUCAAUACCACUUGCUGUCUUCAUUUUUUUGUGUCAAAACCUCCUUCAGAAAUACGUAAUUCUGUGGAGUGUGUAGAGCUUGGACUGGUCUGUCCAAUUUGUGGAUUUCACAAACAUGAACUGAUGUUUUUUCCCUUGCUUAAAAAGUCGUUGGUGUUACGAGUUUCUACUGUGGCACUUUCAGCAACUUCCUAAUAAGCAGACCUGGUCUUUGCAUCUGAAUGCUGAAUGUGUUGAAAUUCUUCCCGCUACAUGACUCUGGAUAUACUGGCUCACAGACUCUGGUUACCAGUCUGUGGUAUUCUCUUGAGCCCUUGAGUGCUUAGCUGUGUUUAAAUACUUGCUGAAUAUCUGGACCAGAAUGGAUCCUUUGAGCAUUUGCUGCAGCAUUGAUUUACUUUUCUAGCAUAGCCUGUUCUGUCAGUGUUACACUGGCACCAUCUUUACUGUUUUAUAAUGUGAGUGUUCUGCAAAAACAAAUUUAUUCAGUGGAUUGUUUGCAGGACAGAUGUAAGUAUAUCUGUAACUUCUUUGAAAUUCGUGUUGAUGGGAUGAAAAAAACCAAGGAUCCUAGACUUUUAAAGUGUGCCUAAUAGACUGUGGUGGAAUGAAGAACAGAAUGGAGAAAUUACCUUUGUGGGAUGGAGGUUGAUCACAGCCACCCAUAGCUCCCUGCAUUCCCUGUUCUGCAAAAUAGGAUCAUAGAUGCCAGCAUUAAAAGGUGUUUCUGGGUGACUAAAAUGCUGAUGUGGACUUCAUUGUGUAGCCAACACAGCUGCUUUUGGUGGAGAUAUGUUGGUGUGUUAAAUUUUGUAUCUUGAAGGACAGUCCAGAUGGUCAUUUGUAAGUUGGUACAACUGUCCAGUGGAGACUAGGCACCUAGGGUGAGGUAGUCUGGAAUACUAGUAUUGAGGGUGAUAGUGAUAUUUGUCUAACACCACUUUGCUGCAAGGGUAUCUGAAUAUUAUAAUUCAUAUAAGUGAAUAUGGAAAGCUAACUUUGCAGCAGAUCAGAAGAGGUAAACAGCGGAUGCAGAUUCUGAAUUGUAUCCCUAUUCUUCACCUGCUCUGAAUAUUUUAAUAGGAAGCAGUAGCUAUCCAUGAGGAUGCUGACUGCAAGAAGGCAAGGUGAUUCACUGCCAUAAUGUUUGGGAAAGUUGUGCAUCAUUGCAUAUUCAUGUGCAUUGAACUAUAUAAAAGCUGCAAGUGAGGACAUUCUUUUUCUGACUGUCAUAGGUAUGAAGUGUUGAAAUGCCAGGAGUCAUUUUAGGGUACGCCUAUUUCCUGCUGUCUUGGUCUCUGAAGGCCUUUGAUGACACCCUAGAAAGGGUGGAAAAGUUUAACCAACCCCAGGCAAAUGCAGAGCAAGUGGCACUCCUUCAGAAACUUGAAGACUUGUUGGAGUUGCCUCAUGAUCAGAUUUACCUUUAAGAAGGCAAACAAUCUUUUCAUAGUUGCUUAGCAUGAACUGUAUAAUAAUUGAAAAAUUGAAAGGUAAAUCUCGCCAUCAGACUGCUGUGUCAAAGUGGACAGAACGUCCAUAAUUUGAACAGGCAAGUAUUGGAAUAAUAAAAAAAAAAAUAUCUAGAUGGUAGCUGGAAGUGUUCUUUAGAGAAUUCACAGAUUAUGUUGUGGGUAGGUUUUGGGGUUUUGUUUGUUUUUUUCAUUCAAAAGUAGGGUGGGGGUUUUUGCUGGAAGAUAAGGUACCUUAACUUUGAAUAAUUGGAGAGAAAUCAAGCUUUUAUUUAAAUUGAUAGAGAAAAGUAGCUCAAUUCAUAGUGAAAUCUUUCUAAUAGAACAAAUGUACCAGCAGCAUGGUAAGGUUCAGAAAAGGGCAAACCAUCAUGCGAGAGGCAGAGGAGGUGCAGCUGCUUGAUUACUACCCAAGUGGUCAAUGGGCUUGCCUCUCAUAAGACAGUUCCUGUUUCUCCUAACAUUGUUUUGUAUUAUAUGUGUAAGAAGGGGAAUCUGCAUCUGAUUUGAGGAAGAGCUGUAUACUCCCAAAUCUUAUUAUGGCCUGGAAUGUUGAUAGUUAAAGGUGAGGAGAUUGUUCAUGCCCUUCAUGUUCUGCAAUUUGCAGAUGCAGUUUCAUGUGCUAUGUGCAUGAUGACAAAAGGUCCUGAAAUGUGCAUUGAAAAUUCCCUCAGGAUGUUCCCGGUUGUUCCAAGAGCCUCAAGCACUGCUGUCAGUUGGCUAAAUGUGUGUGGCAAUAGCUUCACAAACAGUAGCCUCUCUGGGGCAUCUGUAGCAACUCUUCAUUAGCAUGAACCUGAGAGGUACUAUUGAAAAUGUACCCUUCUGAGGUUGAUUUUACAGACACUUUAUUGUUGUAAAGUGAGCAAGUCUUCUAGAUUAACCGCAGUAGUUCAGAAGUAAAAAAAUGAGUUGCUUUCUGUCCCCCCUAAAUAUAUCAAGGGCAAAAUGGCAUGUACUCUUAAGAGCCUGCAAGUAUAGUAUGGUGAUUUCAGCUGGCGUUUGGUUGUUAAAGGUAACUUAAGUUUAAAAAAGACCAAAACAAAAAAACCACUUGUUACAGCCAGACAUUCAUGUUCAAGUUUGCAUAUUGCAAACUGAUAAUGUGAUAUAUAUCCAAUGAAAGUAUAUAAUAUGUUGAAUAUCCAGUGUAAGUGAUGUGUGAUGAAUGUGCAAUGAAAGUGUUCAAGGCAAGGUCAGAUGGGGCUUUGAGCAACCUAAUUGGACUAGAUCAUCUUCCGACCCAAACUGUUCUAUGAUUCUGUGAAAACAAAAAAGGAGGGAAGGGUUGAGAAGGGUGGACAGCCACCAAGAUAAUUAAAGUGCAGAAAAGGUCUUGUUACAGAGACAGAAAUAUAAAGGAAAUGGUGAAAGAGUUUCUGCUACAGAACAUUGUGAAGUCUGUCACAAAGGAGAAAAAGCAAAUUAUUUCAUCGCUGUUUUAGCAGUUCUUCUUUUCCUGCAGAAGCAGAAAAGAUUGGGUAAGAACGUUUAGGAUUGUCUCUUUCACAAGAGGCCAUCUUCAUCUGGUCAGCAUAUGUAGGCUCGCAGAAGAGGAUACUGCCUUCAUUAGUCGCCCUGUGUUCUCUUGGGCCCUGAUUAUAGGAAGUGCUCUGAUAGUACAGCUACAACAAUCUAUUGGCUUGCUUAUUCCUUUCACCCACCAGUAGCAUGUUAUUUCUUGCUUGGCCCUUAAUACAGCCAGCAUAAAGGCGUAGGAAAGUAGUUGCUUCCAUACUCCCAAAAGAGAUUAAUUUGUUUUCCUAAAAGAGCUGGUAAAGCCCAAUGGCAAUAUGUGUGGCUGAGGAUGCAAAUAGCAAAGUGCUUCCCUUCUGUUUGGCAAUAGCUUAGCUUCCUAGGGAUACUAACCUGUUCCUUUAGUAUGAUGACAGGGCAGAAGUUUGAGUGUUCAGACAUUCUGUGUGGAGGUUAGCAAGUUUAUGUGAAUGGAGGUACAUCUAGUUAUAUUCAAAAACUGCUCUUCAAAUUCCAUGUGCUUUCCAGGCAGGUAGCCCUUAGGUACAUGAACAUAAAGGAUGAAUCAGGUCUUGGAAAAAAAGAAUUGAAAAGAAUUUAAAAGAAUUGAAACCUCAGUUGCUGUGGGGAAGAAAAAAAUGUUGUGGGCAGCUUUUAAGUUGCAGAAAAUACCCAUCUGAAUUUUAUGCCAGAUUCAGUCCAGAAUAGCUUGUCCCUAAGGAAGAGUGCCUUCUCUGAGAAGGUACAUCUGUGCACAGUUGCUUUUAAGAUCUUUGUACCAAGGUCCUUUCUGGUGAUUAAGACUUAAAGAAAAAAACAAAAAAAAUCCAAACAAAACAAAAACCAACCAAACAGAAAAAUCAAACCAACACCCCCCUACCCCCCACCCCCAAAAAAACCAAACCCAACCCGCAACAUACAAAUCCCCACUAUUACAAACAACAAACUGAACUUCUGUCUCUUCUGACACAAGUUAUCUAAGAUAACUUGAGUAGACAAUAGUGUUUACAUUACCUCUGUGGUCAACGUAAGGAGCUUUCAAAGAUGUCAGCAGUUUUUAUAGCAGAUCUUUGAGCUUUUAUUAUCAGAACGGCUACUAACAGCAUAUGGCUCUGUAACUGUCAUGUUCUCCUUCCUCAGGAUGGCCUGUAAUUCUAAGGCAGUAAGAGAACAGUUUUUGCUCUUGGUCUGACUCUUCCUCAUUGAGGAAACCAGAUGCAUAGUCCACUAAAAGAUUUCUACCAAACUUGUCGGAAUUUAGCUGGAGUUUAUGGGGCUGUCUAAAGGGAGGAGCAGACAAAUUUUGUUACUAGGGAACUUGCCAAAAUUUACCUGUUAAGAAUUCUUCUGGUUUAGAUUAGAAAGUGAUAAUUUUGGGAGAGAGGAACUGAGGGAC